Long non-coding RNA from Pecten maximus, 521 nucleotides. RefSeq lists it as uncharacterized. The transcript has 2 exons. Lineage: Eukaryota; Metazoa; Mollusca; Bivalvia; Pectinida; Pectinidae. The record is from RefSeq and is a predicted model, not a curated record.
CAGGUUGAAAACCAAAGUAAAGGUUGAUAAGUUGAGCUGCGGUUGCCACUACAAUGUCUGCAUGACUUGUGACGUCUGGAAGUCGAAGAGAUAGAAAAACAACAUAUCAGUGGAAUGCCAACAACCGCAAUCUGAGAGACGCCAAAAGAAAAGUCAAUAAAAUAGUUUGAAGACAGCAAAGUAAGUACAGAAACCACAAGAACUAGCAUAUAGGACAGGAAAACAACGGGAACGAUGGAGAUAUCAAUGAAAAAAAUCAUUCUGAACAGAUGUGAAGGCGGCAGGAAAAAUUAGAAACCUUCCUCGUAUCUUUAAUGUUGCAUUACAUAGAAAUGUAAUCCUUUUUUAACAGAAACACUUCCUGAUGCAAAGGCGUAAUUGUGCAUUUUAUGUAUCUUGUAAAGUAAGUGACAACUAUCUAAGAGAUUUCAUUAUGCAAAUGUAUUAAUGAUGAUAUCACUGCAAUACCUAUCAACAUCGGGAAUCGCGCUUUCCUGAAACAAUUAAAAACUGAACUCAUA